CCGAAAGGCGACCGACCCUUCGGGGAGCGUUGCACAGGUGCUGCAUGGCUGUCGUCAGCUCGUGUCGUGAGAUGUUCGGUUAAGUCCGCUAACGAGCGCAACCCUCGCUGUGUGUUACAAGUGUCACACGGUACUGCCGGUCUUAAGCCGGAGGAAGGUGGGAUGACGUCAAGUCAGCAUGGCCUUUAUGUCCUGGGCUACACACACGCUACAAUGGCCAACACAAUAGGUUGCUAAGCCGCGAGGUGGAGCCAAUCCUCAAAGUUGGUCUCAGUUCAGAUUGCAGGCUGCAACCCGCCUGCAUGAAGAUGGAGUUGCUAGUAGCCGCAGGUCAGCUAUACUGCGGUGAAUACGUUCCCGGGGCUU
This 366-nucleotide ribosomal RNA is filed under the name uncultured Leptolinea sp. Its description in RNAcentral is "bacterial SSU rRNA". It matches the Rfam family "Bacterial small subunit ribosomal RNA", at positions 1001 to 1382 of the family's 1533-position model. The record is from RNAcentral. Lineage: Bacteria; Bacillati; Chloroflexota; Anaerolineae; Anaerolineales; Anaerolineaceae.